Astyanax mexicanus (Mexican tetra) is the source of this 354-nucleotide long non-coding RNA. RefSeq lists it as uncharacterized. Lineage: Eukaryota; Metazoa; Chordata; Actinopteri; Characiformes; Acestrorhamphidae. The record is from RefSeq and is a predicted model, not a curated record. The transcript is spliced from 2 exons.
CACCAUGCACAUUUCACUCGCUGCACCUCGGUACACAGGGAACCAGUCUCUUCUUAUGGCCACCACACUGGACUUGCAGACAAUGGUGUACAUCAAUGGAGCUUGGUUUCAGACCACACCCCACUCUGAAUGGCUCUGCUUACAUCUGAUAUUUGUUUAUAUUAUGCCGAAAUGUUCAAUUCAUUUGCAUGAUGCAAAGAAGUACCUGCAGCGACUCUGACUUUUGAAUACAUGUACAGCCCUAAACAGCACACUAAAUCUUUCUAAGACUGUAAUGCAAUUCAUUUUCUACUGUAGUUAAAACCUAAUAAAUGAAAUAAAUGUAAUUAAAAGUAUUAAAAAGUGUGAACUCUG